Long non-coding RNA from Helianthus annuus (common sunflower), 1410 nucleotides. RefSeq lists it as uncharacterized. The transcript has 2 exons. The record is from RefSeq and is a predicted model, not a curated record. NCBI's taxonomy places the organism in Eukaryota, Viridiplantae, Streptophyta, Magnoliopsida, Asterales, Asteraceae.
UACCUUCCAUCUAUUGUCACACAAUUGCAAGUCAUUUUCUUUCAGCUUAGAGAGACACACGGGAGAGAGAGAAACCGGCGAGAGAGAACUAAACGGAGUCGGCCGCGUCUCCGGCGUUUGGCCGAGGUCCGGCGCAUGGUAGGCCUCAAUCAACUGAACCAAGAGUAAGGAAUCUCAUCUUGGUGACGGAAUGGUGGUCGUGAUGUUUGCAGAUGUGGUGGCUAGGGUUCCGAUGACCCUAGAUGGUGCGGUGGCGCACACACGGUGGCAAGAGGCUAUAGGCGCGAUUGUUGAUUACCUUGUCCACUUUUCAGGUUUUGAACCCUCCUGUAAAUCUUUACCUCUAUAUCCACACAAUCACCCAGUCUCACAAACGUCUCACCAGGAAGCAGAGAGACAACCCUCUGCGAACCCUCACUUUCACGGCGACAAUACCCAUUGUUUGUAAUCUGUACCGCCAGGUGGGUAAGCCGACGAUGAUGCAAACAUUGUCUGCUUUUUUAUUCUCCGACUGUUUUCUGGUUCGUUUUGCUGAAACUUUGCUUUAUUUUUUCUGAUUAUUAUUCGAUUUUUAGGUUUGAUUAUUGUUUCAUCAGGUUUAUGCAAGUUUGUGGUUUCCUUGAUUUUUAUAGCUACUACAUAAACUGGUAAUUGCUCCCGGCAGUGGAAUUUAUGUCAGGCUACCGGAACAGUAGAUGUCGGAGAAGUGUGACAUACAUGUUCCUAAUAUACGCAUAUUGAGACCCUUUCAUCCGCUUUUGAUAGGCGUAUUCAGUGAUCUUUACCAUCUUCUUCAUUUUGGCUUUCACAUAUUUGAAUCGAAAGUAGUUUAUGGUUGCAUAUUUAAUUAGACAAUAGUUAACUGAACCUCUUGAUCUGAUCUAAUGUUAUUUUCGACGUGAAAUGCACAAGGGAAUGAGGUGUUAAUGGCGAUGACAGAGGAGACGGCUGGGGAUAACUGGGAGGGGAAAGAUGAGGUGCUUAAUGAUAUGUGGGUGGAUGAAAGCAGGAAAAAAAGGGGAAGGACAAAGGGGUGAAGUCGUCGGCUACUGCGCAUUUGGAAGGGCUGAGGUGGGAGGUUUUGGUGGUCAAUGAUCAUGUUGUCAAUGGGUUUUGUUUGCCUGGUGGGAAGAUUGUGGUGUUUACCGGGUUGUUGGAGCAUUUUAGAACUGAUGAAGAGAUUGCCACCAUUAUUGGUCAUGAGGAUGAUAAGAAAGUGACACAUUAUGGCGAUGUUCUUCACCUAUUUAUACACAUAUGGGCUGUAUUUUUUCCUAUUUUUUCAUUUGUUAUAUAUAAUAUAGGUGGUGUAUUUGAAAUGUAAUCAAUUUUGGAGUUUGUUUAUGUGUAUAACCGUUGUACUGCCAAAUAACACUUUAUGAACAUUUUGAACUUAACGUUUAUGCUUUA